This 1407-nucleotide ribosomal RNA is filed under the name uncultured bacterium. Its description in RNAcentral is "16S ribosomal RNA". It matches the Rfam family "Bacterial small subunit ribosomal RNA". The record is from RNAcentral.
AGAGUUUGAUCCUGGCUCAGGAUGCCUGCUAGCGACAGGCUUAACACAUGCAAGUCGAGGGGCAGCGGUGGUGAAGGCUUGCCUUUACCAGCCGGCGACCGGCGCACGGGUGAGUAACACGUAUGCAACCUGCCUGCCACGGCCGGAUAAUCGGGAGAAAUCCCGUCUAAUACGGCAUAAUGCAUCGACGGGACAUCCUGUUGGUGCCAAAGGUUGAUUCCGGUGGCGGAUGGGCAUGCGUCGCAUUAGUUAGUUGGCGGUGUAACGGACCACCAAGACGACGAUGCGUAGGGGUUCUGAGAGGAAGGUCCCCCACACUGGUACUGAGACACGGACCAGACUCCUACGGGAGGCAGCAGUGAGGAAUAUUGGUCAAUGGGCGGGAGCCUGAACCAGCCAAGUCGCGUGAGGGAUGACGGCCCUAUGGGUUGUAAACCUCUUUUGCCGGGGAGCAAAGUGCCGCACGUGUGCGGUUUGGAGAGUACCCGGAGAAAAAGCAUCGGCUAACUCCGUGCCAGCAGCCGCGGUAAUACGGAGGAUGCGAGCGUUAUCCGGAUUUAUUGGGUUUAAAGGGUGCGUAGGCGGACGCUUAAGUCAGCGGUAAAAUUGCGGAGCCUCAACCUCGUCGAGCCGUUGAAACUGGGGUGCCUUGAGUGGGCGAGAAGUACGCGGAAUGCGUGGUGUAGCGGUGAAAUGCAUAGAUAUCACGCAGAACUCCGAUUGCGAAGGCAGCGUACCGGCGCCCAACUGACGCUGAAGCACGAAGGCGUGGGUAUCGAACAGGAUUAGAUACCCUGGUAGUCCACGCAGUAAACGAUGAAUGCUAGUUGUCCGGGGCGAUUGAGUUCUGGGUGACACAGCGAAAGCGUUAAGCAUUCCACCUGGGGAGUACGCCGGCAACGGUGAAACUCAAAGGAAUUGACGGGGGCCCGCACAAGCGGAGGAACAUGUGGUUUAAUUCGAUGAUACGCGAGGAACCUUACCCGGGCUCAAACGCAGGAGGGAUGUUUUUGAAAGGAGGCAGCCAGCAAUGGUCUCCUGCGAGGUGCUGCAUGGUUGUCGUCAGCUCGUGCCGUGAGGUGUCGGCUUAAGUGCCAUAACGAGCGCAACCCCUACCUACAGUUGCCAUCGCGUGAUGGCGGGCACUCUGUGGGGACUGCCUGCGCAAGCAGUGAGGAAGGCGGGGAUGACGUCAAAUCAGCACGGCCCUUACGUCCGGGGCGACACACGUGUUACAAUGGCGGGUACAGCGGGAAGCCACCCGGCGACGGGGCGCGGAACCCGAAAACCUGUCUCAGUUCGGAUUGGAGUCUGCAACCCGACUCCAUGAAGCUGGAUUCGCUAGUAAUCGCGCAUCAGCCACGGCGCGGUGAAUACGUUCCCGGGCCUUGCACACACCGCCCGUCA